Long non-coding RNA from Sander lucioperca (pikeperch), 210 nucleotides. RefSeq lists it as uncharacterized. The record is from RefSeq and is a predicted model, not a curated record. The transcript has 3 exons. Lineage: Eukaryota; Metazoa; Chordata; Actinopteri; Perciformes; Percidae.
GCCCCUUUAACAGGCCCGUCACUUUUAUAUAACCGAACCUGGUUUUUUAAGGAGGUUUUUAAGUGUUUUAAUCACACCAGUGGUCCCCUUGUGCCCGUGCCCCUCGCAGCGGCCAUCCUGGGCGUUGCGUUUUAACCCAAACCUAACCAUAACCAUUGCCUAAUCGACUUCAAGGCAGCGCUGCGACCGUUGACUUCAUGGCACCUAACC